CCUACGGGGGGCUGCAGUGGGGAAUAUUGGACAAUGGGGGGAACCCUGAUCCAGCCAUGCCGCGUGUGUGAAGAAGGCCCUCGGGUUGUAAAGCACUUUCAGUGAGGAAGAACGCCUGGUGGUUAAUACCCAUCAGGAAAGACAUCACUCACAGAAGAAGCACCGGCUAACUCCGUGCCAGCAGCCGCGGUAAUACGGAGGGUGCGAGCGUUAAUCGGAAUUACUGGGCGUAAAGCGCGCGUAGGUGGCUUGAUAAGCCGGUUGUGAAAGCCCCGGGCUCAACCUGGGAACGGCAUCCGGAACUGUCAAGCUAGAGUGCAGGAGAGGAAGGUAGAAUUCCCGGUGUAGCGGUGAAAUGCGUAGAGAUCGGGAGGAAUACCAGUGGCGAAGGCGGCCUUCUGGACUGACACUGACACUGAGGUGCGAAAGUGUGGGUAGCAAACAGGAUUAGAUACCCUAGUAGUC
Molecule: ribosomal RNA, 465 nt
Filed under: Vreelandella stevensii
Lineage: Bacteria; Pseudomonadati; Pseudomonadota; Gammaproteobacteria; Oceanospirillales; Halomonadaceae
Description: partial 16S ribosomal RNA
Rfam family: Bacterial small subunit ribosomal RNA
Source: RNAcentral